Molecule: non-coding RNA, 946 nt
Organism: Hydra vulgaris (swiftwater hydra)
Lineage: Eukaryota; Metazoa; Cnidaria; Hydrozoa; Anthoathecata; Hydridae
Source: RefSeq, a predicted model, not a curated record
UUAACUUUAAAUAUUUUUAUCAAAACGUUUAUCAAACAAAAAGUAACGAUUGGGUAGUUAUUGACACAUGGUCUGAAAGUCUGAAGAGUGACUCAUUUGUUUUUACUGAAAAAUUAGUUUCUGGUAAGUAUACUGCUAUGGCAAGAGGGAUCUAUUAUUUGUCUGCUAAUGUUAUUUUUAAAGACAGCAAUUGACCAAUUUAUAUUAUGAUAGCUGUCAAUAAUCAGUUAUCAAAACGAACUGCUUUAUAUGCAACAAAAGGAAAACCAUCAGUAGUUCAAGACAGUCUUAGUGUGUCUGGAGCCUUAUUUAUUAAAAAAGUGUUUUUUACUCAUUGGUUGUGUCUGGUUUGGUAUUAGUUAAUGCAGGUGACAGCAUUGCACUUUAUACUCAGUCUGUUGCUGAUCCAACUUAUACAAUAAGUCAAGACAGCUUUAUGUCAAUCGUUUUCAUUAGCUCUACCAAUGAUUUAUAUUCAUCUGGAAUGCAGUUAAUGCUAAAUACAACACUUGAUCAACAGCAGAGCGCUUCUGAUUAGACUUAAGUUAAAUAUUGGCAGAACAACCGGGUAAGGACUGCAACUGGUGUUUUCAGCAGUGGAAAUCUUCUAAAACUAGAUUCAGUCAUGGGUACAGUAACAGUUCAAGAGACAGGAGUUUAUUAUAUUUUUGUAAAUCUUGCUAUUGCUCCUGAUUUGAAUAAUUAUCAAAUAGCUGUUUUUACAACAUUAACAUCUGUCACAUCACUAAUAAGAAGAUUUAGUGAUAAAGAUCAUCCUCAAUACACAAUGAAGAUUUACGGUGCUUUAUACCUGUAUAAAGGUCAGUGAAUGAAGUUGAAGAAGGCUUCACUAGCUUGACAUUAAAUAGUUCUAUUAAAUUGAGUCAAAAGGAUACAGGCUUUUUGUAUUAGUUAUUUUAAUGUAAUACAUGUUUUAUGAUGUUAA